This 492-nucleotide ribosomal RNA is filed under the name uncultured bacterium. RNAcentral's name for it is "partial 16S ribosomal RNA". It matches the Rfam family "Bacterial small subunit ribosomal RNA", at positions 29 to 507 of the family's 1533-position model. The record is from RNAcentral.
AGUGAACGCUGGCGGUAGGCCUAACACAUGCAAGUCGAACGGCAGCACAGUAAGAGCUUGCUCCUACGGGUGGCGAGUGGCGGACGGGUGAGGAAUACAUCGGAAUCUACUUUUUCGUGGGGGAUAACGUAGGGAAACUUACGAUACUACCGCAUACGACCUACGGGUGAAAGCAGGGGAUCUUCGGACCUUGCGCGAUUGAAUGAGCCGAUGUCGGAUUAGCUAGUUGGCGGGGUAAAGGCCCACCAAGGCGACGAUCCGUAGCUGGUCUGAGAGGAUGAUCAGCCACACUGGAACUGAGACACGGUCCAGACUCCUACGGGAGGCAGCAGUGGGGAAUAUUGGACAAUGGGCGCAAGCCUGAUCCAGCCAUACCGCGUGGGUGAAGAAGGCCUUCGGGUUGUAAAGCCCUUUUGUUGGGAAAGAAAAGCAGCAGGUUAAUACCCCGCUGUUCUGACGGUACCCAAAGAAUAAGCACCGGCUAACUUCGUG